This is a non-coding RNA of Oryza glaberrima (African rice), 183 nucleotides long. The record is from Rfam. NCBI's taxonomy places the organism in Eukaryota, Viridiplantae, Streptophyta, Magnoliopsida, Poales, Poaceae.
AAUAAAUACAGUUUUGCACUGUUCAUAUCUUUGUUUUAUUUGAAAAUUUUUAUGAUUGAUAUUUUUAUUAUUAUUAGAUGAUAAAACAUAAAUAAUACUUUAUGUGUGAUUAAAUUUUCAUAAAUUUUUUAUAUAAAAUGGACGGCCAAACGUUGAACAUGGAUAUUUACGGUUGCACUUAUU